RNAcentral lists this ribosomal RNA (504 nucleotides) under uncultured bacterium. Its description in RNAcentral is "partial 16S ribosomal RNA". It matches the Rfam family "Bacterial small subunit ribosomal RNA", at positions 29 to 523 of the family's 1533-position model. The record is from RNAcentral.
AUUGAACGCUGGCGGCAGGCCUAACACAUGCAAGUCGGACGGUAGCACAGAGAGCUUGCUCUCGGGUGACGAGUGGCGGACGGGUGAGUAAUGUCUGGGGAUCUGCCCGAUAGAGGGGGAUAACCACUGGAAACGGUGGCUAAUACCGCAUAACGUCGCAAGACCAAAGAGGGGGACCUUCGGGCCUCUCACUAUCGGAUGAACCCAGAUGGGAUUAGCUAGUAGGCGGGGUAAUGGCUCACCUAGGCGACGAUCCCUAGCUGGGCUGAGGGGAUGGCCAGCCACACUGGAAGUGAGACACGGUCCAGACACCUACGGGAGGCAGCAGUGGGGAAUAUUGCACAAUGGGCGCAAGCCUGAUGCAGCCAUGCCGCGUGUAUGAAGAAGGCCUUCGGGUUGUAAAGUACUUUCAGCGGGGAGGAAGGCGAUGUGGUUAAUAACCGCAUUGAUUGACGUUACCCGCAGAAGAAGCACCGGCUAACUCCGUGCCAGCCGCCGCAGUAA